RNAcentral lists this transfer RNA (73 nucleotides) under Ailuropoda melanoleuca (giant panda). It matches the Rfam family "tRNA". Rfam says of the family: Transfer RNA (tRNA) molecules are approximately 80 nucleotides in length. Lineage: Eukaryota; Metazoa; Chordata; Mammalia; Carnivora; Ursidae. The record is from Rfam by way of RNAcentral.
CCCCUGCUGGCUCAGUCAGUAGAGCGUAUAACUCUUGAUUGUAGGGUUGUGAGUUCAAGCCCCACAUUGGGUA